UCGGGAAUUUUGGGCAAUGGGCGAAAGCCUGACGCAGCGACGCCGCGUGGGGGAUGAAGGUCUUCGGAUUGUAAACCCCUUUCGGGAGGGAAGAUGGAGUGGGGUAACCCAUUCGGACGGUACCUCCAGAAGCAGCCACGGCUAACUUCGUGCCAGCAGCCGCGGUAAUACAGAGGCCACGAACGUUGUUCGGAAUCACUGGGCAUAAAGCGCACGUAGGCGGCUAGGUCCGUCCGAUGUGAAAGCCCCCGGCUCAACCGGGGAAUUGCAUCGGAUACAGCCUGGCUUGAGGACGGUUGGGGUGAGUGGAACUCCUGGUGGAGCGGUGAAAUGCGUAGAUAUCAGGAGGAACACCGGUGGCGAAGGCGGCAUCCUGGACCGGUAUUGACGCUGAGUGAGCGAAAGCCAGGGGAGCAAACGGGAUUAGAUACCCUAGUAGUCCCUGAGCGGGCUGGCAAGGCGCAU
RNAcentral lists this ribosomal RNA (465 nucleotides) under uncultured bacterium. RNAcentral describes it as "bacterial SSU rRNA". It matches the Rfam family "Bacterial small subunit ribosomal RNA", at positions 355 to 825 of the family's 1533-position model. The record is from RNAcentral.